CCCUUAGAUGUCCUGGGCCGCACGCGCGCUACACUGACAUGUUCAACAAGCCUCCUAGUUCGACAGGAUUUGGGAAAUCUUUGAACGCAUGUCGUGAUAGGGAUAGAUCAUUGCAGUUAUUGAUCUUGAACGAGGAAUUCCUAGUAAACGCGAGUCAUCAGCUCGCAUUGAUUACGUCCCUGCCCUUUGUACACACCGCCCGUCGCACCUACCGAUUGAAUGUUUCGGUGAAGAUUCCGGAUAGGACUUUUUUGAUUUAUUUCAAUUCUGUCUUAAAAGCUAUCUAAACCUCAACAUUUAGAGGAAGGUGAAGUCGUAACA
This 321-nucleotide ribosomal RNA is filed under the name uncultured eukaryote. Its description in RNAcentral is "partial 18S ribosomal RNA". It matches the Rfam family "Eukaryotic small subunit ribosomal RNA", at positions 1470 to 1796 of the family's 1831-position model. The record is from RNAcentral.